RNAcentral lists this ribosomal RNA (492 nucleotides) under uncultured bacterium. RNAcentral's name for it is "partial 16S ribosomal RNA". It matches the Rfam family "Bacterial small subunit ribosomal RNA", at positions 29 to 507 of the family's 1533-position model. The record is from RNAcentral.
AGUGAACGCUGGCGGUAGGCCUAACACAUGCAAGUCGAACGGCAGCACCGUAAGAGCUUGCUCUUACGGGUGGCGAGUGGCGGACGGGUGAGGAAUACAUCGGAAUCUACUUUUUCGUGGGGGAUAACGUAGGGAAACUUACGCUAAUACCGCAUACGACCUACGGGUGAAAGCAGGGGAUCUUCUGACCUUGCGCGAUUGAAUGAGCCGAUGUCGGAUUAGCUAGUUGGCGGGGUAAAGGCCCACCAAGGCGACGAUCCGUAGCUGGUCUGAGAGGAUGAUCAGCCACACUGGAACUGAGACACGGUCCAGACUCCUACGGGAGGCAGCAGUGGGGAAUAUUGGACAAUGGGCGCAAGCCUGAUCCAGCCAUACCGCGUGGGUGAAGAAGGCCUUCGGGUUGUAAAGCCCUUUUGUUGGGAAAGAAAAGCAGCAGGUUAAGACCCCGCUGUUCUGACGGUACCCAAAGAAUAAGCACCGGCUAACUUCGUG